UACGUAGGGCGCGAGCGUUGUCCGGAUUUAUUGGGCGUAAAGAGCUCGUAGGCGGCUUGUCGCGUCGUUCGUGAAAACUCACAGCUCAACUGUGAGCUUGCGGUCGAUACGGGCAGGCUAGAGUUCGGUAGGGGAGACUGGAAUUCCUGGUGUAGCGGUGAAAUGCGCAGAUAUCGGGAGGAACACCGGUGGCGAAGGCGGUUCUCUGGGCCGGGACUGACGCUGAGGAGCGAAAGCGUGGGGAGCGAACAGG
Molecule: ribosomal RNA, 253 nt
Filed under: uncultured bacterium
Lineage: Bacteria
Description: partial 16S ribosomal RNA
Rfam family: Bacterial small subunit ribosomal RNA
Source: RNAcentral